AGCGUCAAAAGGGCAUCCGGGGGAUGUCUUGGCGGUAAGAGGCGAUGAAGGACGUGGCACUCUGCGAUAAGCACGGGGGAGGCGAGAGCACCCUUUGAUCCCGUGAUUUCCGAAUGGGGAAACCCACCUCCGAGAUGAGAGACUACAGGCUGGCAUCCGUGUCAGCCCUUGGUCUUUCAUUUCACUAGAGAGGUAUUUCACACUGAAUACAUAGGUGUUGAAAAGCAAACCCGGGGAAUUGAAACAUCUAAGUACCCGGAGGAAAGGACAUCAAUUGAGACUCCGUUAGUAGUGGCGAGCGAACGCGGACCAGGCCAGUGGCAAUAGUAAGAAAAGCGGAAGCGUCUGGAAAGUCGUGCCGUAGUGGGUGAUAGCCCCGUACGCGUUAAUCGAACUAUUGUCCUCGAGUAGGGCGGAACACGUGAAAUUCUGUCUGAACAUGGGGGGACCACCCUCCAAGCCUAAAUACUACUGACUGACCGAUAGUGAACUAGUACCGUGAGGGAAAGAUGAAAAGAACCCCGAUAAGGGGAGUGAAAUAGAACUUGAAACCAUGUACCUACAAUCGGUGGAAGCGCUAUUGUAAAGCGUGACCACGUACCUUUUGCAUUAUGAGCCAUCGAGUUACGAUGUGUAGCGAGGUUAAGCCUUUAGGUGUAGCCGUAGGGAAACCGAGUCUGAAUAGGGCGAAUAGUUGCAUGUCGUAGACCCGAAACGGGAUGAGCUUACCAUGGGCAGGUUGAAGCGAGGGUAAAACCUCGUGGAGGACCGAACCCGUUAAGGUUGAAAACUUUUGGGAUGACCUGUGGUAAGGGGUGAAAGGCCAAUCAAAUUCCGUGAUAGCUGGUUCUCUCCGAAAUGCAUUUAGGUGCAGCGUCUAAUGAAUACCGUUGGGGGUAUAGCACUGAAUUGGCUAGGGGGCUUACCGGCUUACCAAACCAUAUCAAACUCAGAAUACCGUUAAGUACUAUCAGGCAGUGAGACUGCGGAUGCUAAGGUCCGUAGUCGAAAGGGAAAGAGCCCAGACCAUCAGCUAAGGUCCCCAAAUCAAUUCUAAGUGGGAAAGGUUGUGGGAUUACUUUGACAUCCAGGAGGUUGGCUUAGAAGCAGCCACCCUUUAAAGA
Molecule: ribosomal RNA, 1124 nt
Filed under: Pseudo-nitzschia fraudulenta
Lineage: Eukaryota; Bacillariophyta; Bacillariophyceae; Bacillariales; Bacillariaceae
Description: partial Bacterial large subunit ribosomal RNA
Rfam family: Bacterial large subunit ribosomal RNA
Source: RNAcentral